CGCCUAUUUGGUCGGAUUCGGGCAUGUCAACAGACGCCGAACGGACAACACCUCCCCUGUCAGCCUAAGGCUCUACCAAAAUAUGUAUAACAGUAACAAUUCAAACAUAAGAAUGCAAGUAUACAUGGCUUGCUCGAGGGCAAGCAACAUCAACCACAAGUGAAAGCAAUCUAACUAUUACAUUCAUACAUUGUAACUUGAUCACUUUCAAUCAAAUACAAAGCUUGUACAUUUACUUUACAUUCAUUCUUCCAAUUUACAUAACCAUCUCUCAAAUGAAUUAAUUACAUUUCAUAUACAAUUUACAUUCAUCGACAUAAUAGAUGAAACAUAUAUAGGGUGGCUCUACACACAAGGGUAGUCCGCUACCUAGAGCACGAUAACCAUGCCACGAGCAACGAUCGCCUCGCUUGCACUAGAACCUGCAUGGCUAGUGAGAUAAGAACUACAACAAAAUUUUCAGUGAAUUCGGCUGCCGACCUUGCCGACUUACCCACUAGGUCUAUUUAGGUAUAAGUAUUUCAAAGAAAGAAAAUAGCAAACCAUACUAAUGUUAAUACUAUGCCUGCAAAAAAACUGUCAACAGAUAGAUAAUCAUAUGUAUAAUGAAUAUGCAUACAUGCUCUGUCCACAUUUUACCUUGGCUUUUACCCAAUCAUACCGGUUAACCUUGUUAACCCCAAAACUCACAACCCAAAAUCUCUAUCAUUCGA
RNAcentral lists this long non-coding RNA (713 nucleotides) under Ananas comosus (pineapple). RNAcentral's name for it is "long non-coding RNA (ACOM_LNC016745)". The record is from RNAcentral. Lineage: Eukaryota; Viridiplantae; Streptophyta; Magnoliopsida; Poales; Bromeliaceae.